Molecule: transfer RNA, 69 nt
Filed under: Ictidomys tridecemlineatus (thirteen-lined ground squirrel)
Lineage: Eukaryota; Metazoa; Chordata; Mammalia; Rodentia; Sciuridae
Description: Spermophilus tridecemlineatus (thirteen-lined ground squirrel) tRNA
Rfam family: tRNA
About the family: Transfer RNA (tRNA) molecules are approximately 80 nucleotides in length. Their secondary structure includes four short double-helical elements and three loops (D, anti-codon, and T loops).
Source: Rfam by way of RNAcentral
UGGGUUUUGGCUCAGUGGUAGAGCACUUACCUUGCACGUAUGAGGCACUGGGUUCAAUCCUAAGCACUA